UACGAAGGGGGCUAGCGUUGUUCGGAAUUACUGGGCGUAAAGCGCACGUAGGCGGACAUUUAAGUCAGGGGUGAAAUCCCAGAGCUCAACUCUGGAACUGCCUUUGAUACUGGGUGUCUUGAGUAUGGAAGAGGUGAGUGGAAUUCCGAGUGUAGAGGUGAAAUUCGUAGAUAUUCGGAGGAACACCAGUGGCGAAGGCGGCUCACUGGUCCAUUACUGACGCUGAGGCUCGAAAGCGUGGGGAGCAAACAGG
Molecule: ribosomal RNA, 253 nt
Filed under: uncultured bacterium
Lineage: Bacteria
Description: partial 16S ribosomal RNA
Rfam family: Bacterial small subunit ribosomal RNA
Source: RNAcentral